UACGUAGGGUGCGAGCGUUAAUCGGAAUUACUGGGCGUAAAGCGUGCGCAGGCGGUUGGCAAAGUCAGCUGUGAAAGCCCCGGGCUCAACCUGGGAAUUGCGGUUGAAACUAGUCGACUAGAAUGCUGGCAGAGGGGGGUGGGAAUUCCACGGUGUAAGCAGGUGGAAAUGCGUAGGAGAAUGGUGGGAAGGAACACCGAUGGCGGAACGGGCAGCCCCCUGGGCUGA
This 228-nucleotide ribosomal RNA is filed under the name uncultured bacterium. Its description in RNAcentral is "partial 16S ribosomal RNA". It matches the Rfam family "Bacterial small subunit ribosomal RNA", at positions 524 to 737 of the family's 1533-position model. The record is from RNAcentral.